This is a non-coding RNA of Pan troglodytes (chimpanzee), 148 nucleotides long. It matches the Rfam family "Metazoan signal recognition particle RNA". From Rfam's summary of the family: The signal recognition particle (SRP) is a universally conserved ribonucleoprotein. It is involved in the co-translational targeting of proteins to membranes. Lineage: Eukaryota; Metazoa; Chordata; Mammalia; Primates; Hominidae. The record is from Rfam.
GCUGGGUGUGGUUGCCUGUGCCUGUAGUCCCAACUACUCAGGAGGCUGAGGUAGGAGGAUCACUUGAGCCCAGGAGGUCAAGGAUGCAGUGAGCCCUGAUUGUACCACUGCAUUCCAGUCUGGGCUCCAGAAUGAGACCCUGUCUCUU